Molecule: non-coding RNA, 24 nt
Filed under: Arabidopsis thaliana (thale cress)
Lineage: Eukaryota; Viridiplantae; Streptophyta; Magnoliopsida; Brassicales; Brassicaceae
Source: RNAcentral
CUUUAAGUUUCAGGCACAUUGCAU